AUGGACAAAGCCGUCGUACACGCAUCUGAUCCGGCUGAUGCACCCGGCUGUGGGUUAGCUUCUGCUGGGAUGGUGACAAAGGACAUGGAAAAGAAGCUUGUGGGGUGCGGCCUGAUGGACAGGGAACGCGAGGGUGACGGUGGCCUGAAGAUGAAGGGACGGUUGUGGCCUGACCACAAGAGCAUGGCCACGGUGCAAAUUCCUCUAUAUCUUUCCAUGGGGCCAUGGUUGUUCCAGAGUAUGGCAACGGUGCAAAAUCAACUGUCUCCCUGGUCGAAGCAGAUGCUCGGGGUCACGUCCAAUGUCGCCGCCGAGUUUGCCGGAGGAGCAAAAACAUCUGUCGAGCCAUCCAAUGUCGCCCGCGGCGGCUACAACAGAGGUAUGUAUCCCCUUGAAAGCAGCAGGUAG
RNAcentral lists this ribosomal RNA (408 nucleotides) under Triticum aestivum (bread wheat). RNAcentral's name for it is "partial small subunit ribosomal RNA". The record is from RNAcentral. Lineage: Eukaryota; Viridiplantae; Streptophyta; Magnoliopsida; Poales; Poaceae.